UCCCUAGCUUGAGACUCAAACUCCGGAAGCCGACCUGCCAACAGACAUUGUGGGAGAAUACUCUUCACCAUCAUCAGAAAAUGUUGCUUAGCGGCAACCUUGAAAUAGGGUCAAGUUUGACUGCAUCAAGCUCUAAAGCCGGGUAUUCUGAGCCAGCUCGAAGCCUUAUAGCUAGAUCAAAGACUGCCGUAAGUUGCAUCUUGAGUCUUAAGAAUUGGGUCCCUUAGCCCCUGGAUUGGUGCGCAAGCAAAAGAAGAACAAAAAAGAGGGGCCUCUGGCUUAUUAAGAAGCAUAUAAACGACAUACUAAGCAGAAGCGCGUAGACGAAGGGAGAGGGGCUUUUUCGAAAGGCUAGAAACUUAUACGUAUAUAGAUAUAGUGAGUGUGCGUGCGGGGUGUAGGUAUACCACUUACGAGAAAGAACCCCAAGUCAGUAAAGUAGUUAACCAAACACAAGUAAGAAGUUCGUCAGUCCUUCCUCCGAUG
Molecule: long non-coding RNA, 486 nt
Filed under: Nicotiana benthamiana
Lineage: Eukaryota; Viridiplantae; Streptophyta; Magnoliopsida; Solanales; Solanaceae
Description: long non-coding RNA (NBEN_LNC010663)
Source: RNAcentral